This 253-nucleotide ribosomal RNA is filed under the name uncultured bacterium. Its description in RNAcentral is "partial 16S ribosomal RNA". It matches the Rfam family "Bacterial small subunit ribosomal RNA", at positions 524 to 776 of the family's 1533-position model. The record is from RNAcentral.
UACGUAGGGGGCAAGCGUUGUUCGGAAUUACUGGGCGUAAAGGGCGCGUAGGCGGUUGGAUAAGUCAGCUGUGAAAACCACGAGCUCAACUUGUGGCCUGCAGUUGAAACUGUCUGGCUAGAGUGUGGGAGAGGGAAGUGGAAUUCCUGGUGUAGCGGUGAAAUGCGUAGAUAUCAGGAGGAACACCGGUGGCGAAGGCGGCUUCCUGGACCACAACUGACGCUGAGGCGCGAAAGCUAGGGGAGCAAACAGG